This 365-nucleotide long non-coding RNA is filed under the name Selaginella moellendorffii. RNAcentral's name for it is "long non-coding RNA (SMOE_LNC000440)". The record is from RNAcentral. Lineage: Eukaryota; Viridiplantae; Streptophyta; Lycopodiopsida; Selaginellales; Selaginellaceae.
GCCGUGGAGUAUAGCUGCGCUGCAUAUGGAGACGAGACCAUCGGAGCUACUGGUUUUGGCUGGAAAGAAGAUCCCAAGUAAGAAAAACAGUGUUGAAAGUAUCAAGUCUAAAGCUUACCGUUUUCGUAAAGUGUAGAAUGACCCGCAGUUCUCCGGCAUAUCUGCGAAAAGAAAGAUCAAAUGUAAGCUUUAGACUCUCCUGUUUCUUCUCGAUUUUUGAUACCUUCCACUCUUUGAUGUCAGGUUCCACGUUGAAUCAUCAUAGCCCGUGGUGAGAGCUUUGUCCAGCAGUAUCCUAGAAAAAAAUUUACGAGGGCCGCGUCAGGCAUGACGUCCACGAGGAAACGCAAGCUACAAAAAUCGCA